AACAUAGCCUUAAGUUUUAUUUAAGGUGAGACCUGCCCAGUGCUAAUUGUUAACGGCCGCAGUACCUUGACUGUGCUAAGGUAGCAUAAUCAGUUGGCUUUUAAAUGGAGUCGGGAAUGAAUGGAUUAAUGGAGUAAAGCUGUCUCUUUUAUAUUAUAUUGAAUUUUUUUAUUAGGUGAAAAUACCUAAAUUUAGAAAAAAGACGAGAAGACCCUAGGAGUUUUAAUUAAGAGUUUUAUUUAAACUUACAUUUUUGUUGGGGCGACAAUGGAGUAAUAUUAAACCUCCUUUCUUAACAUGCCGACUAAGUAUGGAAGUAUAAACUACCCUAGGGAUAACAGCGUAAUUCUUUUUGAGCUUGCGACCUCGAUGUUGGACUAGGAAUUUGGUAGGCUAGCCGCCUAUUUAUAUUGUUCUGUUCGAACUGUUUUUCCU
RNAcentral lists this ribosomal RNA (435 nucleotides) under Bosellia mimetica. Its description in RNAcentral is "partial 16S ribosomal RNA". It matches the Rfam family "Bacterial large subunit ribosomal RNA", at positions 1812 to 2596 of the family's 2925-position model. The record is from RNAcentral. Lineage: Eukaryota; Metazoa; Mollusca; Gastropoda; Boselliidae.